AGUGAACGCUGGCGGUAGGCCUAAUACAUGCAAGUCGAACGGCAGCACAGUAAGAGCUUGCUCUUACGGGUGGCGAGUGGCGGACGGGUGAGGAAUACAUCGGAAUCUACUUUUUCGUGGGGGAUAACGGAGGGAAACUUACGCUAAUACCGCAUACGACCUACGGGUGAAAGCAGGGGAUCUUCGGACCUUUCGCGAUUGAAUGAGCCGAUGUCGGAUUAGCUAGUUGGCGGGGUAAAGGCCCACCAAGGCGACGAUCCGUAGCUGGUCUGAGAGGAUGAUCAGCCACACUGGAACUGAGACACGGUCCAGACUCCUACGGGAGGCAGCAGUGGGGAAUAUUGGACAAUGGGCGAAAGCCUGAUCCAGCAAUACCGCGUGGGUGAAGAAGGCCUUCGGGUUGUAAAGCCCUUUUGUUGGGAAAGAAAAGCAGCAGGUUAAUACCCCGCUGUUCUGACGGUACCCAAAGAAUAAGCACCGGCUAACUUCGUG
Molecule: ribosomal RNA, 492 nt
Filed under: uncultured bacterium
Lineage: Bacteria
Description: partial 16S ribosomal RNA
Rfam family: Bacterial small subunit ribosomal RNA
Source: RNAcentral